UGCAAUCUGUGAUGCAAGUAUUCCCAUUUCUUGAAUCGCAAUGAUUAUUACAAUCAAAAUCACCAUCUUUCGGUUGAGAUUGUA
Phragmites australis (common reed) is the source of this 84-nucleotide small nucleolar RNA. NCBI's taxonomy places the organism in Eukaryota, Viridiplantae, Streptophyta, Magnoliopsida, Poales, Poaceae. The record is from RefSeq and is a predicted model, not a curated record.